GGAAGUAAAAGUCGUAACAGGGUUUCCGUAGGUGAACCUGCGGAAGGAUCAUUACAGAGUUCAUGCCCUCACGGGUAGAUCUCCCACCCUUGAAUAUUUAUACCUUAGUUGCUUUGGCAGGCCGUGGAAACACCAUGGGCUCCGGCUUAUGCGUGCCUGCCAGAGGAAACAAACUCUGUUUUUAGUGAUGUCUGAGUACUAUAUAAUAGUUAAAACUUUCAACAACGGAUCUCUUGGUUCUG
Molecule: unclassified non-coding RNA, 242 nt
Filed under: plant metagenome
Description: partial contains small subunit ribosomal RNA, internal transcribed spacer 1, and 5.8S ribosomal RNA
Rfam family: Eukaryotic small subunit ribosomal RNA (bases 1-54)
Source: RNAcentral